RNAcentral lists this long non-coding RNA (235 nucleotides) under Populus trichocarpa (black cottonwood). Its description in RNAcentral is "long non-coding RNA (PTRI_LNC001440)". Lineage: Eukaryota; Viridiplantae; Streptophyta; Magnoliopsida; Malpighiales; Salicaceae. The record is from RNAcentral.
GUUAUCUUAAUCUUGUGCUAAUGAUUGCAGAGUUAACUGGUUGAAUCAUAUUUUUUUGUAGCUUUAUUUUAUUUUAUUUUAUUUUUUUCAGUUUCUCCCUUAAAUAUUGAGUUGUUUGAUAAAUGGAAUUUCUUAGUUUUAUUCAGUUUUUUUUCAAUGGAGUUAACAGUAUCAUGACCAAGUCAUAUAUUUGGUAUGUUAAUCCAAAUGAGAUCAAGUUGGUUUUUUUUUUUUU